AACGAACGCUGGCGGCAGGCUUAACACAUGCAAGUCGAACGGAUCCUUCGGGAUUAGUGGCAGACGGGUGAGUAACGCGUGGGAACGUACCCUUUGCUACGGAAUAACUCAGGGAAACUUGAGCUAAUACCGUAUGUGCCCUACGGGGGAAAGAUUUAUCGGCAAAGGAUCGGCCCGCGUUGGAUUAGCUAGUUGGUGGGGUAAUGGCCUACCAAGGCGACGAUCCAUAGCUGGUCUGAGAGGAUGAUCAGCCACACUGGGACUGAGACACGGCCCAGACUCCUACGGGAGGCAGCAGUGGGGAAUAUUGGACAAUGGGCGCAAGCCUGAUCCAGCCAUGCCGCGUGAGUGAUGAAGGUCUUAGGAUUGUAAAGCUCUUUCACCGGUGAAGAUAAUGACGGUAGCCGGAGAAGAAGCCCCGGCUAACUUCG
This 431-nucleotide ribosomal RNA is filed under the name uncultured bacterium. RNAcentral describes it as "partial 16S ribosomal RNA". It matches the Rfam family "Bacterial small subunit ribosomal RNA", at positions 29 to 505 of the family's 1533-position model. The record is from RNAcentral.